CCUACGGGUGGCUGCAGUAGGGAAUAUUGCUCAAUGGGGGAAACCCUGACGCAGCAACGCCGCGUGGAGGAUGAAGGUUUUAGGAUUGUAAACUCCUUUUGUUAGAGAAGAUUGUGCCGUUAUCUAACGAAUAAGCACCGGAUAACUCCGUGACAGCAGCCGCGGUAUUACGGAGGGUGCAAGCGGUACUCGGAAUCACUGGGCGUAAAGUGUGCGUAGGCGGGGUGUUAAGUCAGAGGUGAAAUCCUGGAGCUUAACGACAGAACUGCCUUUGAAACUGGUACUCUGGAGUGUGGGAGAGGUAGGUGGAAUUCUAGGUGUAGGGGUGAAAUCCGUAGAGAGCAAGAGGAAUACUCAUUGCGAAGGCGACCAGCUGGAACAUUACUGACGCUGAUGAACGAAAGCGUGGGGAGCAAACAGGAUUAGAUACCCGGGUAGUC
RNAcentral lists this ribosomal RNA (440 nucleotides) under uncultured bacterium. RNAcentral describes it as "partial 16S ribosomal RNA". It matches the Rfam family "Bacterial small subunit ribosomal RNA", at positions 338 to 795 of the family's 1533-position model. The record is from RNAcentral.